AAAAACGAGAUUUUUCUACUUCUACAAAACAAAGCGCAGUAAAUAAUAAAGGAGGAGAGAAGUUACCUUGAGAGUUGUGUGAGUUGACGUGACGUCAAGUGUAGAGGUGGGAAGUUAUUUAAAGCCAUCAUCACCACGAUUUUCGAGAUUGCGGAAAUCUCUUCUCUGCGCCUGAUCUGGACCGUCAGAUGCGGUGCGCUGAACUGACGCUCCAUCUCGGCCGUCCACAUUAGCAGCGACUUAUCUCGCGUAUCUCCUUGAAAUCUUUUGGUUAAAGGAAUCUGAAAAUAAAACGAAAUUGUUGAGUUUAUCCUCAAAACCGACUGAUCUAACCAUAUUUAUCCUCUCGUCAAGAAUAUUUUCGCAAUCUUACCUGACCUAUAUGUCCGCUCAUCGAGUUCACCUACUCAUUCAAUGGGCUGGGGGGCAAAUGUUGGAGUUGGAUUCCCCUCCAGGAAUCCACCUGCGAAAAUACCAAGCCAGCCCACAAAAGCCCACCAAGCCCACUAAGUAGAGGACCUACGCAGCUGACGAGCCCACAUACGCGAAUGGGUAUUUGGGCCAGAUAAGCCCAGUCACCUGAUGAAGAGAGAUAAGCGAAUAAUGACCUAGGAACUGACGAGGAGAUAUUCGCGGAGCGGACCUGAUAUCUCGGAACUGACCUGCCGAAUAUCCAGGAGGAUCUCCGCAGAUCCCGGACGGAGCUACCACGUGCGUAGACUUAUAUAAGGGAGCUAGGACGACUAGGAAGACACAUUGAAUCUAGCUUACAUUCACACACACACACUUUUACACUUGUAAUAUCUUUUCUCAUUGUAAAAGCUUUGUCAAAAUCAAUACAAAAGUCCAUUCGUUCUUAGCAAUAUAACUCUCAAGGUUUCAGUGAAGAUCUAGCCGUCCUUUCUCAUAAUCUUAAAAUCAAAUCUCUAGUGUGGAUUUCAGAACUCACAGCAAGUCAACAAAAACUUUGUCAUUUAUUUAGAAAGUCAACAAAAACUUUACGAUUUAUUUUUAUUGUGUGAAGUUCAAGAUUAAAUCGUCCCAAAUUUGAAAGUUGGUAUUUUUUUUGAUAUUUCCCCCCGUAAAAUAUGGUCAAACGUAAAAUAAAUAUUCUCUCUUUUUUUUUCUUGCAAAACUAUUUCAGAUGGAUUUGGAGUUUCGAACAAAUAUUUUCCCAUUUUAUCUACAUAUACUUUUUUGGGGAAGAUUUGUGUCGAAAAAUCCUUUUUCAAUUUCGAUAUUGUAUGUUUAGUCCCUACAAAAUCAAUCAGAGAAGAUUGUCUUCUUUAGGACAAUGACCAAAUUUUUGAUCAACUAUUCACAUUUUGCACUAAUUACUUACCUAAACAAAAAUAUUAUUUUGCACUACCCUCAUAAAUUGCACACAUUAAUCCCUUAAAUCUCUACUAAUUCAAUAUUACACGACAUAAUAUUCCCUAAAAAUUCGAACAACCAAAUAACUAACCAUAUCUGAUUUAAUCCCAUACGACGAGAUUUGAGAUCCUAACAUAUGGAAAUCAAAUCUUCAAAAUUAAAUACUAUUAAUAUUUAUAAUCUCGAUCAUAUCUACUAAAUAUGAACUACUAACUGAAAAU
Molecule: small RNA, 1595 nt
Filed under: Arabidopsis thaliana (thale cress)
Lineage: Eukaryota; Viridiplantae; Streptophyta; Magnoliopsida; Brassicales; Brassicaceae
Description: ATSL041080
Source: RNAcentral